CCAAAACGGAGCACUGCAAAUUAAAGUCCAAAUUGCAAAUAAUAAAAUCGCCGCCAGCAACGAGAAAUUGGUUCUGAUCUGGAAACGAAAAGAAGGGAAUUGAAAAGAAAAGGAAACGAAAUCCACACCACCACUAUCUCUCCAAGCUGCUGCACUACUUCAAUUCUCACAUCUCGUAAUCAAAUACUUCUCAAUUCUCCAUUUCGUCACAUUUAUCGUGCUCUGAUAUUGAAACCAGAUAACAAGACUGUAGAAAAAAUAAAAUCGCCGGGCCAAACCCUAACCCUAACCCUAAUCCUCGUUUGUAAUUUAAAAAUUUGAUGGCAAGCGACACCGAGGCUUCCCGUCGCAAGCACCGUCGAUCACCUACGGACGAUGAUGCGCCUGCUCUGGUCGACGAGGAGAAAGAUAAGCCGUCUAAGCGGCAUAAACAUCGCCACCACCACCGUCAUCAUCGUUCUCACCGAAGUAAAAAGCACGACGGUGAUGAUAAAAGCAAACAAGACGGAGGCGGCGGUCAUGAUGAGGUCUCUAUCCUUUCUUCUGCUCCUCCUCCUCCUCCGGUUCCGAAUGAUGACGUGGAGGAAGGUGAGAUUUUGGAAGAGGAGGAUAAUUUCACUUCCCAGAAUCUGGCUGUUCAUGCUGACAAAGUUGACAGUGGUUUGACUAAUUCUGGCAGCAAUGUUAGUUUGCCUAAUGCUAAGCCUGGGGCUUUAGAUGAAUUAGAUUCUAGAAAUGACCACAAGUCUCUUUCUAAUGGGGAUUUAGGUCGUGAAAAAUAUUCUUUUGAGACCAAGAAACAGCAUGGGGAUUCUAGGACAGCUUCAAGAGGAAUUUACAAGCAAAAGAGUCAUCGAGGUGAUUUUACACCUGAGGGUGAUGACGUUAAAUUGAAUGAUCGGGUGAAGCCACUGUCUUCUAAGAGUGGGGAGGACAAGUUAGAGACUGUGGCACGCGGUGCUUCUUGUGAUAGAUACCAUGAUGAAGUUAUAGUAAGGAGUAGAUCUCGUUCACGCAGCAUAUUAGAUGAAGAUGCUCUUUUGAAGAGAAGGCGACUAGAUGAUAAGGCUGAGAAUGAUUCUGGCGAUGAGAGAAUGCCUAGGCAUGAUAUGUAUAUGCAGGGUGGUAGUAGAGAUGUGGAGAGGGAGCGCAGUACUGGUUACAACCAAAGUCUGGGAAGGGAGGAGAGCCAUGGAAGCUGGGGCUCACAAGGCAGGGAGAGGGAGAUGGCCUGGGUACAGAGAAGGGAGCAUGGACGAGAGAUGAGCAGGGAAAGGGACCAAAGAAGAGACAAAGACCGAGAGAGGAGCAGGGACCUGGAUUUGAGAAUGGAGAAAGACAGAGAGAGGAGCAGGGGCAGGGAGAUAGACAGAGAUCAAAGAGGUGCGAAGGAAUGGGAGAGACGGAAGGAUAGGGAGAUUGAGACAGACCAGAGAAGAGAGAAGGAACGGAUGUGGAGCAGGGAUAUGGAGAUAGAGAGGGAUCGGAGAAGAGAGAAGCCACAGGAGAGGAGCUGGGAUAGGGAUGUGGAUAAGGAUCGCAGGGAAGAGAGGGGGCGCGGUAGAAGCUUGGAUAGAAGGAGCUGGGAUAGGGAUGUGGACAAGGAUCGCAGGGAAGAGAGGGGGCGCGAUAGAAGCAUGGAUAGAAGGAGCUGGGAUAGGGAUGUGGACAAGGAUCGUAGGGAAGAGAGGGGGCGCGAUAGAAGCUUGGAUAGGAGAAGGGACAUGGAACAUCGUAGGAACAUGGACAUGGAGAGACAGGAGAAUAGAAGCAAAGAAAAAGACAUAUAUAGGACCAGUGACAGACAAAGACAUAGGGAGGGAGAGGGGCGAGAUAGGGAUAAUCACCCUGUGAGGGAAAGAGUUAAGGACCGUGAUUGGAGAACUGAUAGGGAGAGUCUUAGUGAUAGAAAUAGGGACAAAGACAAGGACUCUAAGGGCAAUUCAGCUAAGGUAUAUAACUCUAACAGUGGUUCUUUGGGAGGAGACAGGGAGAAAUUGGAAAGAGAUGAAGAUGAACAGGAUGAGUUUGAAGAGAGGAUUGCGUUAAAACUUGCUGAACAAGAUGAAGAUCUUGAUAGAGUAAAAGAGGAAAGCAGAAAGCGCAGGCAAGCCAUUUUAGAAAAAUAUAGGAAUCAGAAGAAACCCCAGCAAAAUGAUACUCAAUUAGUUCAUGUGGAGAAAGCAGAUAGCCCUCUUGCGCAAUGUUCGGUCCAGUUAUUAACUGCUUCUAAUGCUGGUCCAGAUUCUAACAAUGCUAAGGUUGAAAGUGAUCCAUCAAUAGCAGCUUCUGCUUCAGAAAGUAUUCAUGUUAAGAUGGAAAGUGAUGUGUAUGUUACCGAGCCAGUAUUUUCUGUGGGUAAGACACCUCCACAAAAUGGAAAUCAAGCUUCUGAGAGGAUUUCUGGUGCCGCAGGGCUUGGUGAGGGUACUCCCAAGAGUGAGGGAUCAGAUGAAAAAUACUGUGAUGAUAUAUUUGCAGAGACACCUACUAGAGUUCGUAAACCUAGUAAAGGAGAUGGUUUACAAAUUGCACGGAGCAGUUUAUAUGACAAUUGGGAUGAUCCUGACGGGUAUUACGAUUAUCGGUUUGGUGAAAGACUCGAUGGUCGGUAUGAAAUUGUUGCUGCUCAAGGGAAAGGUGUCUUCUCCACAGUAGUUCGAGCAAAGGAUUUAAAGGCUGGUGUUGGUGAACCACAAGAGGUGGCUAUAAAAAUUUUACGUAAUAAGGAACAAAUGCAUAAAGCAGGUCAGAAUGAGGAACUGAUAUUCAGUAAAUUAGCGGCAGCAGAUCCGGAUAACAAGCGCCACUGCGUUCGUUUUCUUUCAAGUUUUAAAUAUAGAAAUCAUCUUUGUUUAGUUUUUGAGUCUCUUCAUAUGAACCUUCGCGAGGUUCUAAAAAAGUUUGGUCGAAAUAUUGGCCUUAAAUUAACUGCUGUUAGAGCUUAUGCAAAGCAGCUUUUUAUUGCGCUGAAGCAUCUUAAGAAUUGUGAAGUUCUUCAUUGCGAUAUAAAGCCUGAUAACAUGCUGGUAAAUGAGGCAAAAAAUGUGCUGAAACUUUGUGAUUUUGGUAAUGCUAUGCUUGCUGGUAAAAAUGAAAUCACUCCAUAUCUUGUGAGCCGUUUUUAUCGAGCACCGGAAAUAAUUCUUGGCUUGCCAUAUGAUCAUCCAGUGGAUAUGUGGUCUGUUGGCUGCUGCUUGUAUGAGCUGUAUGCUGGGAAAGUCCUUUUUCCAGGUGCAACGAAUAGUGACAUGCUUCGACUUCACAUGGAAUUGAAGGGCCCUUUUCCAAAGAAAAUGCUGAAGAAGGGCGGUUUUGUCGAUCAGCAUUUUGACCAGGAUUUAAAUUUUAAUUCCAUUGAGGAAGAUCCAGUGACUAAGAAGAUUAUAAAGAGGGUAUUGGUGAACGUAAAGCAAAAAGAAAUUGGAUCAAUCAUUAAGAUCUCCCCCGGUGACGACUCAAGUAUGCUAUCAGCUUUUAAAGAUCUACUUGACAAAAUUUUUGUGCUGGAUCCUGAGAAGAGUCCUCUAAUCAGGGUAUAUCUGUCGUCAUUUUCAAUAUGCUGGCAUAUGGAUGGUGAACAGUUUUCAGCGCCGAUGAAGCCAGAAGCCAUAAUGUAUGGUCAGGCGAACUUACCGACAGUUCUUUCUGGGGAAUUUACUGUUCCUAUCGAUGUCACUCUUGCUCUGGGGCAUCCCUCAAGUGCUUAAUAGCUUAAAAGGCACCCAGGAGAAGGUACCUUGGUUUGUUUAUUGGGAGCAUAUUCACAAAUGCAAAAAUAAUAUAAUGUUUUCUUGCAACCUUUACGUAUGACUGUUGCCUCUAAUUUGCUAUAGAAAAGUUUCUCGUAUCACUUUGGAUUUGUUGCGGUUAGUUUCCUCGAGAGUAGUUCUAGGAGAUCUCGGACAUUGAACACGUGUACUUUUUGUGCAUUCUUAUUGUUAUUGUAAAGGGAAAUGUUUUAACAAAUACACUAUUGCUAUGCAUCCGAAGUACUAGACAUAAAAGUGACUUGCCCCUCUUCUUGAUGUAUUUGUGCAAGUAUUUGUUAAGUUGUGUUUUCAAUCGCCUGGCAUCAUUUUUAACUUCUCUUUUGCUUUUAUUUUAUGUUUUUAUCUUCUUUGUAACUUCUCUUUUUGCUUUUGUGUCCUUUUUAUUUUUGUCAUUAUAUCUGUGUAAUCCGAGUUCUAAUGUUUUCCUGUACAUCUGAUCCAUGGACUUUCUAUCUGGAGGAAAAUGCUCCUGAAACUGCUGCUUCAACAUUAACGUAAAAGCAUGUGUGAUUCUUGUCACAGCUUUGCGAUUCGUGUAAGUAUUUUAAAUCUUCUUACUGGGUAUUAGAUCUUUUAGCUCCAGAAUACAGUCAAAUGGUUUUUAUGGUAAUUUUUAUGAUGUUCUGUGUUGUAUUGUGGAUAACUGCUGUUUGAGAGUCCAAGAUUAUAUGCUCAUGCUGUUUGCUUGCCGGUAAAAUAAAAAUGAGGGAUUGUAGUUUUCUUUACCACAAAAGCAUGAGCUUGGGGCUGUGUGAUAGUCAAAGCUACUGCAACUCGUUAGCAUUUAAAUUUUAUUUUAUUUAAUUAACAUAAACAGAAUCAAUACUUCAAUUUUUAUGUUUUGUUUAGACUUUUAGGCACCAUUUGCUCUAUCUGCUUGUUUUUGUUUGCCAAUGUUGCAAGUUGGUUAGGGACCUAGGGUCUAUGGGAUUUAGUUGGGAAGGGAUAGAACAAACAGGUGGAAGUCAGGGGCACCAUUAAAUUAGUGUGGAAACCGUGGAAUACCUUCUACAUUAGUUUGAAACCUAAGUAUUGUGAAAUGGGUUAUAAAAUUAUACUCCCUCCGUCCCAAUAGAGUUGUCCAUUUUGAGAAAUUUUUUUGUCCCAAAAUACUUGUCCACUUUCAAAAAGUAACUAACUUUUACACUUAAUUUUUCUAUAUUACCCCUAUUUAAAAUCCACUAAUGAGUAAAUUGAAAGUAAAUUGCAAGUGUGCCCUAUAUUAAAUAGGGGUAUGACAAGAAAAGUUAGUAAAAAUUCACAAAACCCACAAACAAUAAUUGCUUUUCUUAAACUGUGUGAUAAAGGCAAAGUGGACAACUCUAUUGGGACGGAGGGAGUAAAUAAAAGUAUCUCCAUAACUCGAAACGUUUUUCCUUAAAAACAAACCCCGAACUAUAUUUGUAACCUAAGUACAAAAGAAUAUGAAUUUCCAUAAUAUUGUCUGUUGGCAACCUACACCUUCUUGUAACUCCCUAUGAAACCUGAAACGUUACACCUGGCCUCCUGAUCGGCUGCUUCUACAUUAGUUUGAAACCUAAGUAUUUUGAAAUGGGUUAAUAAAUUAUAAAUAAAAGUAUCUUCAUAACUCAAAACGUUUUUCCUUAAAAACAAACCCCGAACUAUAUUUGUAACCCAAGAUAAUUUGUAAAAUGACGAGUACAAAAGAAUAUAAUUUCCAUCUGUUGGCAACCUACACCUUCUUGUAACUCCCUAUGGAACCUGAAACGGUACACCUGGCCUCCCUGAUCGACUGCUUCUGUGCAAUGGUUUAUUAACACUUUUUUUUUCCGCACAAUUAAGAACUUACGUGUUAACUGUAAAGCUUUAUAGAAUUUGUUUUUAUUUGGAUUUUUAGAUGUUUGAUUUGUUUUGAGUAUGAACUUGAAAAUUAUAAAGCUGUUUAGUUUGCUAGAUUUGUUUUUCAAUGUGCCAUUUUUCUUUUUAUUUGGUUGGACUCGAUUUACAGUUGGCAAUGAUUUUUUUUUUCUUUCUUGACUUAUGCUUCAGUUUGUCUUUUUGCCUUUGAUGUUUUACUAGCAUUAUUUUCUUUUUCGAAACUACAAUUUUUAUAAAUAAUGUUUUUUUGCAUUAAUAUGGAAAUUUUUAUGGGAAAAAAUCUUGUUAGUUGGAUUAAAUUACAUUAGGUUGUUGCACUCUGUGGAUUGUUGAAAAAUUUGCUCAUGCAGACUGUUAGAGAGAUUAUAUCGGGAAAUAGUUUGUACACUGUAGAAAAAAAUUUAAAUUUUACAUUGGUGUACUGCUAAAAAUGAGAGGAAGAGCUUUUGGCUUCAGGAAUAUGUUUUUGUUCCCGCAUUUUCCUAUAUAAUUUCCUGCACAUGAUACAAUAUGCUAAUAAUGUGCUAAUAACGAUUGGAAUUUUCCUAUUGCAAUUGCUUUAUUGGUUUUUAGUGUGUAUAUAUAUUAAUUGAUCAGAUCUCCGGUCUUGGGUCUUUGUUUUUUCUUUUAUGUUUCACUAUGCAUCCUCACAGGUAUGUGCAAGAUACAUAAUUCUAGAUUAUUGAUGAUGUUGGAUCCCAUGUUUUGCCAUCGUUACCGAACAGAUACCAUUUGGCUUUUGAUUGUUUUGGGGGUAAAGUAAUAUUCGCUAACCAUUGUGCAGUUAUGCUUUUUACCCUCCAAGGCUUCAUUGUGUUUUUGUGGUAAAAUUGUUUAGCCAUUGUGCUAAACAAAAUUGUUGUGCUGCGAGGUGAAGACUGUCUAUUUUAUUCAUUAAAAUUUUUAAUUCUUGUGACAUGCGUGUUUUAGCAAUGGCUUUGUGCCCCCAAUGUGCGAUGUAAAUUUAUGCGUGUAGUUUUAAUUGAUACAUCACAAUUUUCUUCUUUAAAGCUAUGUUUUAUUCUCAGGAUAGGCAAGGAAUGUUAAAUAUUUUUUGUUUGAAAUCGUUGUUCUUUA
Molecule: RNA transcript, 6689 nt
Organism: Mercurialis annua (annual mercury)
Lineage: Eukaryota; Viridiplantae; Streptophyta; Magnoliopsida; Malpighiales; Euphorbiaceae
Exons: 15
Source: RefSeq, a predicted model, not a curated record